AACGAACGCUGGCGGCAUGCCUAACACAUGCAAGUCGAACGAGACCUUCGGGUCUAGUGGCGCACGGGUGCGUAACGCGUGGGAACCUGCCCUUAGGUUCGGAAUAACUCCCCGAAAGGGGUGCUAAUACCGGAUAAGGUCUUCGGACCAAAGAUUUAUCGACUUUGGAUGGGCCCGCGUUGGAUUAGCUAGUUGGUAGGGUAAAAGCCGACCAAGGCGACGAUCCAUAGCUGGUCUGAGAGGAUGAUCAGCCACACUGGGACUGAGACACGGCCCAGACUCCUACGGGAAGCAGCAGUGGGGAAUAUUGGACCAUGGGCGAAAGCCUGAUCCAGCAAUGCCGCGUGAGUGAUGAAGGCCUUAGGGUUGUAAAGCUCUUUUAACCGGGAUGAUAAUGACAGUACCGGGAGAAUAAGCUCCGGCUAACUCCGUG
This 433-nucleotide ribosomal RNA is filed under the name uncultured bacterium. RNAcentral describes it as "partial 16S ribosomal RNA". It matches the Rfam family "Bacterial small subunit ribosomal RNA", at positions 29 to 507 of the family's 1533-position model. The record is from RNAcentral.